Molecule: ribosomal RNA, 497 nt
Filed under: uncultured bacterium
Lineage: Bacteria
Description: partial 16S ribosomal RNA
Rfam family: Bacterial small subunit ribosomal RNA
Source: RNAcentral
GAUGAACGCUGGCGGCGUGCCUAAUACAUGCAAGUCGAGCGAACAGAUAAGGAGCUUGCUCCUUUGAAGUUAGCGGCGGACGGGUGAGUAACACGUGGGUAACCUACCUAUAAGACUGGGAUAACUUCGGGAAACCGGAGCUAAUACCGGAUAACAUUUAGAACCGCAUGGUUCUAAAGUGAAAGAUGGUUUUGCCAUCACUUAUAGAUGGACCCGCGCCGUAUUAGCUAGUUGGUAAGGUAACGGCUUACCAAGGCGACGAUACGUAGCCGACCUGAGAGGGUGAUCGGCCACACCGGAACUGAGACACGGUCCAGACUCCUACGGGAGGCAGCAGUAGGGAAUCUUCCGCAAUGGGCGAAAGCCUGACGGAGCAACGCCGCGUGAGUGAUGAAGGGUUUCGGCUCGUAAAACUCUGUCAUUAGGGAAGAACAAAUGUGUAAGUAACUGUGCACAUCUUGACGGUACCUAAUCAGAAAGCCACGGCUAACUACGUG